GAUGGUGGCCGUACCUGCUUGUUAAUGCCAGAUUUUAGCACAUCUCGGAAGCUAGGCAGGGCGUGGUUAGUACUUGGAUGGAAGACCACUGGGAAUACCAGGUGCCUUCAUGC
RNAcentral lists this ribosomal RNA (113 nucleotides) under Periophthalmus magnuspinnatus. The record is from RNAcentral. Lineage: Eukaryota; Metazoa; Chordata; Actinopteri; Gobiiformes; Gobiidae.